CCUACGGGAGGCAGCAGUGGGGAAUAUUGCACAAUGGGCGAAACCCUGAUGCAGCAACGCCGCGUGAGUGAUGAAGUAUUUCGGUAUGUAAAGCUCUAUCAGCAGGGAAUAGCGAAGACGGUACCUGAAAAAGAAGCCCCGGCUAACUACGUGCCAGCAGCAGCGGUAAUACGUAGGGGGCAAGCGUUAUCCGGAUUUACUGGGUGUAAAGGGAGCGUAGUCGGAAAGGCAAGUCAGAGGUGAAAACCCAGGGCUCAACCAUGGGACUGCUUUUGAAACUGUCAAACUAGAGUACGUGAGAGGAUAGAGGAAUUCCUGGUGUAGCGGUGAAAUGCGUAGAUAUUAGGAGGAACACCAGUGGCGAAGGCGUCUUACUGGACCGAAACUGACGUUGAGGAUCGAAAGCGUGGGGAGCAAACAGGAUUAGAUACCCCGGUAGUC
This 441-nucleotide ribosomal RNA is filed under the name uncultured bacterium. RNAcentral describes it as "partial 16S ribosomal RNA". It matches the Rfam family "Bacterial small subunit ribosomal RNA", at positions 338 to 795 of the family's 1533-position model. The record is from RNAcentral.